GAUGAACGCUACUAGUAUGCUUAACACAUGCAAGUCUAACGAAAAUUUAUAUUUUCGUGGCGAACGGGUGAGUAUAUACAGAAUUUUUCCUUUCAGUUUUGAACAAAAAUUUCUUUUUAGAAAUCAAAUUCAAAAUAUUAUAAAGGUUUACUUUUUAAGUGUUCCGCUGAAAGAUAAAUCUGUUAAAGAUUAGGUUGUUGGUAAUUUAAAAGCUUACCAAGCCGAUGAUCUUUAGUUGGUCUUAGAGGAUGAUCAACCACACUGGAACUGAAAUAAGGUCCAGGCUGACAUGUCGGCCAGCAGUGAGGAAUAUUGGACAAUGAACGAAAGUUUGAUCCAGCAAUACUAAUUGGGUGAUGACGGCUUAUUUAAGUUGUAAGAUCCUUUAAAUUAAAGAAGAUAAUGACAUUAUUUAAUUGAACUAGUCCUGGCUAAUACUCGUG
Molecule: ribosomal RNA, 443 nt
Filed under: uncultured bacterium
Lineage: Bacteria
Description: bacterial SSU rRNA
Rfam family: Bacterial small subunit ribosomal RNA
Source: RNAcentral